This 2564-nucleotide ribosomal RNA is filed under the name Escherichia coli. RNAcentral's name for it is "partial 23S ribosomal RNA". It matches the Rfam family "Bacterial large subunit ribosomal RNA", at positions 199 to 2787 of the family's 2925-position model. Lineage: Bacteria; Pseudomonadati; Pseudomonadota; Gammaproteobacteria; Enterobacterales; Enterobacteriaceae. The record is from RNAcentral.
CAUCUAAGUACCCCGAGGAAAAGAAAUCAACCGAGAUUCCCCCAGUAGCGGCGAGCGAACGGGGAGCAGCCCAGAGCCUGAAUCAGUGUGUGUGUUAGUGGAAGCGUCUGGAAAGGCGCGUGAUACAGGGUGACAGCCCCGUACACAAAAAUGCACAUGCUGUGAGCUCGAUGAGUAGGGCGGGACACGUGGUAUCCUGUCUGAAUAUGGGGGGACCAUCCUCCAAGGCUAAAUACUCCUGACUGACCGAUAGUGAACCAGUACCGUGAGGGAAAGGCGAAAAGAACCCCGGCGAGGGGAGUGAAAAAGAACCUGAAACCGUGUACGUACAAGCAGUGGGAGCACGCUUAGGCGUGUGACUGCGUACCUUUUGUAUAAUGGGUCAGCGACUUAUAUUCUGUAGCAAGGUUAACCGAAUAGGGGAGCCGAAGGGAAACCGAGUCUUAACUGGGCGUUAAGUUGCAGGGUAUAGACCCGAAACCCGGUGAUCUAGCCAUGGGCAGGUUGAAGGUUGGGUAACACUAACUGGAGGACCGAACCGACUAAUGUUGAAAAAUUAGCGGAUGACUUGUGGCUGGGGGUGAAAGGCCAAUCAAACCGGGAGAUAGCUGGUUCUCCCCGAAAGCUAUUUAGGUAGCGCCUCGUGAAUUCAUCUCCGGGGGUAGAGCACUGUUUCGGCAAGGGGGUCAUCCCGACUUACCAACCCGAUGCAAACUGCGAAUACCGGAGAAUGUUAUCACGGGAGACACACGGCGGGUGCUAACGUCCGUCGUGAAGAGGGAAACAACCCAGACCGCCAGCUAAGGUCCCAAAGUCAUGGUUAAGUGGGAAACGAUGUGGGAAGGCCCAGACAGCCAGGAUGUUGGCUUAGAAGCAGCCAUCAUUUAAAGAAAGCGUAAUAGCUCACUGGUCGAGUCGGCCUGCGCGGAAGAUGUAACGGGGCUAAACCAUGCACCGAAGCUGCGGCAGCGACGCUUAUGCGUUGUUGGGUAGGGGAGCGUUCUGUAAGCCUGUGAAGGUGUACUGUGAGGUAUGCUGGAGGUAUCAGAAGUGCGAAUGCUGACAUAAGUAACGAUAAAGCGGGUGAAAAGCCCGCUCGCCGGAAGACCAAGGGUUCCUGUCCAACGUUAAUCGGGGCAGGGUGAGUCGACCCCUAAGGCGAGGCCGAAAGGCGUAGUCGAUGGGAAACAGGUUAAUAUUCCUGUACUUGGUGUUACUGCGAAGGGGGGACGGAGAAGGCUAUGUUGGCCGGGCGACGGUUGUCCCGGUUUAAGCGUGUAGGCUGGUUUUCCAGGCAAAUCCGGAAAAUCAAGGCUGAGGCGUGAUGACGAGGCACUACGGUGCUGAAGCAACAAAUGCCCUGCUUCCAGGAAAAGCCUCUAAGCAUCAGGUAACAUCAAAUCGUACCCCAAACCGACACAGGUGGUCAGGUAGAGAAUACCAAGGCGCUUGAGAGAACUCGGGUGAAGGAACUAGGCAAAAUGGUGCCGUAACUUCGGGAGAAGGCACGCUGAUAUGUAGGUGAAGUCCCUCGCGGAUGGAGCUGAAAUCAGUCGAAGAUACCAGCUGGCUGCAACUGUUUAUUAAAAACACAGCACUGUGCAAACACGAAAGUGGACGUAUACGGUGUGACGCCUGCCCGGUGCCGGAAGGUUAAUUGAUGGGGUUAGCGCAAGCGAAGCUCUUGAUCGAAGCCCCGGUAAACGGCGGCCGUAACUAUAACGGUCCUAAGGUAGCGAAAUUCCUUGUCGGGUAAGUUCCGACCUGCACGAAUGGCGUAAUGAUGGCCAGGCUGUCUCCACCCGAGACUCAGUGAAAUUGAACUCGCUGUGAAGAUGCAGUGUACCCGCGGCAAGACGGAAAGACCCCGUGAACCUUUACUAUAGCUUGACACUGAACAUUGAGCCUUGAUGUGUAGGAUAGGUGGGAGGCUUUGAAGUGUGGACGCCAGUCUGCAUGGAGCCGACCUUGAAAUACCACCCUUUAAUGUUUGAUGUUCUAACGUGGACCCGUAAUCCGGGUUGCGGACAGUGUCUGGUGGGUAGUUUGACUGGGGCGGUCUCCUCCUAAAGAGUAACGGAGGAGCACGAAGGUUGGCUAAUCCUGGUCGGACAUCAGGAGGUUAGUGCAAUGGCAUAAGCCAGCUUGACUGCGAGCGUGACGGCGCGAGCAGGUGCGAAAGCAGGUCAUAGUGAUCCGGUGGUUCUGAAUGGAAGGGCCAUCGCUCAACGGAUAAAAGGUACUCCGGGGAUAACAGGCUGAUACCGCCCAAGAGUUCAUAUCGACGGCGGUGUUUGGCACCUCGAUGUCGGCUCAUCACAUCCUGGGGCUGAAGUAGGUCCCAAGGGUAUGGCUGUUCGCCAUUUAAAGUGGUACGCGAGCUGGGUUUAGAACGUCGUGAGACAGUUCGGUCCCUAUCUGCCGUGGGCGCUGGAGAACUGAGGGGGGCUGCUCCUAGUACGAGAGGACCGGAGUGGACGCAUCACUGGUGUUCGGGUUGUCAUGCCAAUGGCACUGCCCGGUAGCUAAAUGCGGAAGAGAUAAGUGCUGAAAGCAUCUAAGCA